GCAUUAAUGGGGUAGUGGUAACCUGGGUCGUUGCCAUCAGAUCAUAGUAUCGACCCGCCGGGGGUUCGAUUCCCCCUUAAUGCA
Non-coding RNA from Tricholoma furcatifolium, 84 nucleotides. The record is from the annotation of a GenBank genome assembly. NCBI's taxonomy places the organism in Eukaryota, Fungi, Basidiomycota, Agaricomycetes, Agaricales, Tricholomataceae.